RNAcentral lists this transfer RNA (94 nucleotides) under Leptolyngbya sp. 15MV. Its description in RNAcentral is "tRNA-Ser". It matches the Rfam family "tRNA". From Rfam's summary of the family: Transfer RNA (tRNA) molecules are approximately 80 nucleotides in length. Their secondary structure includes four short double-helical elements and three loops (D, anti-codon, and T loops). The record is from RNAcentral. Lineage: Bacteria; Bacillati; Cyanobacteriota; Cyanophyceae; Leptolyngbyales; Leptolyngbyaceae.
GGAGGGGUGGCCGAGCGGCUGAAGGCAACGGUUUGCUAAACCGUCAUAGGGGCUUAAACCUCUAUCGUGGGUUCGAAUCCCAUCCCCUCCGCCA